GGGCGGUGUAGCCAAG
RNAcentral lists this transfer RNA (16 nucleotides) under Medicago ruthenica. RNAcentral's name for it is "partial tRNA-His". The record is from RNAcentral. Lineage: Eukaryota; Viridiplantae; Streptophyta; Magnoliopsida; Fabales; Fabaceae.